This 253-nucleotide ribosomal RNA is filed under the name uncultured bacterium. Its description in RNAcentral is "partial 16S ribosomal RNA". It matches the Rfam family "Bacterial small subunit ribosomal RNA", at positions 524 to 776 of the family's 1533-position model. The record is from RNAcentral.
UACGUAGGCAGCGAGCGUUGUUCGGAGUUACUGGGCGUAAAGGGUGUGUAGGCGGUUUUCUAAGUUUGGUGUGAAAUCUCCCGGCCCAACCGGGAGGGUGCGCCGAAAACUGGGAGACUAGAGUGCGGGAUGGGAGAGUAGAAUUCCUGGUGUAGCGGUGAAAUGCGUAGAUAUCAGGAGGAAUACCGGUGGUGUAGACGGCUCUCUGGACCGCCACUGACGCUGAGACACGAAAGCGUGGGUAGCAAACAGG